GCCAGUGUGGCAUAAGGGUCUGUGGUUGGGACUAUGACUCCGGAGACCAGGGUUUGAGUCCCUGCUCGGCCA
Molecule: non-coding RNA, 72 nt
Organism: Phrynosoma platyrhinos (Desert horned lizard)
Lineage: Eukaryota; Metazoa; Chordata; Lepidosauria; Squamata; Phrynosomatidae
Source: the annotation of a GenBank genome assembly